CUCACUUUUAGGAUAUUUUCUUUCCUCUCUGUAGUUGACUGUUCUGGUGCCAACCCAUGUCUGAACGGAGGUACCUGUGAUACCGAUGCAUGUACAUGUGCUGCGGGAUUCAAUGGAGCUUUGUGUAAUAUAGUUGACUGUUCUGGUGCCAACCCAUGUCUGAACGGAGGUACCUGUGAUACCGAUGCAUGUACAUGUGCUGCGGGAUUCAAUGGAGCUUUGUGUAAUAUAGUUGACUGUUCUGGUGCCAACCCAUGUCUGAACGGAGGUACCUGUGAUACCGAUGCAUGUACAUGUGCUGCGGGAUUCA
This is a long non-coding RNA of Strongylocentrotus purpuratus (purple sea urchin), 310 nucleotides long. RefSeq lists it as uncharacterized. The record is from RefSeq and is a predicted model, not a curated record. NCBI's taxonomy places the organism in Eukaryota, Metazoa, Echinodermata, Echinoidea, Camarodonta, Strongylocentrotidae. The transcript has 3 exons.